AUUGAACGCUGGCGGCAUGCCUUACACAUGCAAGUCGAACGGCAGCACGGGUGCUUGCACCUGGUGGCGAGUGGCGAACGGGUGAGUAAUACAUCGGAACAUGUCCUGUAGUGGGGGAUAGCCCGGCGAAAGCCGGAUUAAUACCGCAUACGAUCCACGGAUGAAAGCGGGGGACCUUCGGGCCUCGCGCUAUAGGGUUGGCCGAUGGCUGAUUAGCUGGUUGGUGGGGUAAAGGCCUACCAAGGCGACGAUCAGUAGCUGGUCUGAGAGGACGACCAGCCACACUGGGACUGAGACACGGCCCAGACUCCUACGGGAGGCAGCAGUGGGGAAUUUUGGACAAUGGGCGAAAGCCUGAUCCAGCAAUGCCGCGUGUGUGAAGAAGGCCUUCGGGUUGUAAAGCACUUUUGUCCGGAAAGAAAUCCUUGACUCUAAUACAGUCGGGGGAUGACGGUACCGGAAGAAUAAGCACCGGCUAACUACGUG
This 486-nucleotide ribosomal RNA is filed under the name uncultured bacterium. RNAcentral describes it as "partial 16S ribosomal RNA". It matches the Rfam family "Bacterial small subunit ribosomal RNA", at positions 30 to 507 of the family's 1533-position model. The record is from RNAcentral.